Molecule: ribosomal RNA, 589 nt
Filed under: uncultured bacterium
Lineage: Bacteria
Description: bacterial SSU rRNA
Rfam family: Bacterial small subunit ribosomal RNA
Source: RNAcentral
CCUACGGGAGGCAGCAGUAAGGAAUAUUGGUCAAUGGGCGCAAGCCUGAACCAGCCAUGCCGCGUGCAGGAUGACGGCCCUCUGGGUUGUAAACUGCUUUUAUACGGGAAGAACAGCAUCUACGUGUAGGUGUUUGACGGUACUGUAAGAAUAAGGACCGGCGUAACUUACGUGCAGCAGCCGCGGUAAUACGAAGGGUCCGAACGCGUUAUCCGGAUUUAUUGGGUUUAAAGGGUUAGCGUAGGCGGCUUUUUAAGUUCAGUGGUGAAAGCCUGAUGCUCAACAUCAGAACUGCCAUUGAUACUGAAGAGCUUGAGUACAGUUGAGGUUGGCGGAAUGUGUCAUGUAGCGGUGAAAUGCUUAGAUAUGACACAGAACACCGAUUGCGAAGGCAGCUAGCUAAGCUGUUACUGACGCUGAUGCACGAAAGCGUGGGGAGCAAACAGGAUUAGAUACCCUGGUAGUCCACGCCCUAAACGUUGAUAACUCGUUGUUAGCGAUAUACUGUUAGCGACCAAGCGAAAGCAUUAAAGUUAUCCAACCUGGGAAGUUACGGUUGCAAGAUUGAAACUUCAAAGGAAUUGACCGG